AUUGAACGCUGGCGGCAUGAUUUACACAUGCAAGUCGAACGGUAACAGGCCGCAAGGUGCUGACGAGUGGCGAACGGGUGAGUAAUGCAUCGGAACGUGCCCAGUCGUGGGGGAUAACUACUCGAAAGAGUAGCUAAUACCGCAUACGAUCUAUGGAUGAAAGCGGGGGACCGUAAGGCCUCGCGCGAUUGGAGCGGCCGAUGUCAGAUUAGGUAGUUGGUGGGGUAAAGGCUCACCAAGCCAACGAUCUGUAGCUGGUCUGAGAGGACGACCAGCCACACUGGGACUGAGACACGGCCCAGACUCCUACGGGAGGCAGCAGUGGGGAAUUUUGGACAAUGGGCGCAAGCCUGAUCCAGCAAUGCCGCGUGCAGGAAGAAGGCCUUCGGGUUGUAAACUGCUUUUGUACGGAACGAAACGGCUCUGGUUAAUACCCGGGGCUAAUGACGGUACCGUAAGAAUAAGCACCGGCUAGCUACGUG
RNAcentral lists this ribosomal RNA (482 nucleotides) under uncultured bacterium. RNAcentral's name for it is "partial 16S ribosomal RNA". It matches the Rfam family "Bacterial small subunit ribosomal RNA", at positions 30 to 507 of the family's 1533-position model. The record is from RNAcentral.